Long non-coding RNA from Tyto alba (common barn owl), 2208 nucleotides. RefSeq lists it as uncharacterized. The transcript has 3 exons. The record is from RefSeq and is a predicted model, not a curated record. Lineage: Eukaryota; Metazoa; Chordata; Aves; Strigiformes; Tytonidae.
AAAUGAGACACCCCCCCCGGCUCGUUAGUGAUGGGCAGGGGAGGCCAGAGAAGGCGAGGGGAGCUGGCAUCACGCGCGGCUCAGACACUCGCCACUUACACAGCACGGGGCAAAAGUCAGUGAAAGGAAAAGCCCGGAGAGGGGAGGGGGUGCAGGGAGGCUCAGAGGCUCCUGGCACGCACAAGGAACGCACACCCUCAGCAGGAGGCACAGGACUUUCUGCUCCUCUCCAGUCGCUGUCCUGCCUGCUCACAAGGGUGUUCCUGAUUCCGGGGCGUCCAAAGGUUGACGUUACUCUCAGGUGCAGUGCCUCUUUCCUGGAGCACUGCAUGCCUCAGAAUGUAAUAAGCAAAAAGCCUCCUGCCCAGUGGAAGGGAAAGUCUGGCAGAAGAGCUCUAGCACCCAGAAGAGCUGUGAAGGUUGGAACAAAACUCCUCUCAGAUCCUUCUCCCACACUAAGAUGCGACAGGAGGAAGAAGAGACGUGAACCCAGCUGGUACAGAAGGGAGAGCUUUGUAGGAUGGGUCAGAAUCUCUAUAUCCAGGACAGAUGCCCAGACUUCUAGACAAACCCAACACAGAAGGGGAGCAGGGGGAGUGGGGAAAUUGCAUCUGAAUCUGCUCGUGGUUCAGCUCAUGGCAUGGUUCUAACCACAGGUGCCGCAUAAAGAGGGGCUGGGAAGUUGCAGCUAGCACCUAUCUCCCCGCUCUCAGCUCGUUCUGCAGUCAGAUUAGAGCGGUCACGAGACAACUUUAUUCCACGGAGCUCAGGGCACCUCUCCAAACAUCUGUGCUCCACAGCUGCUCCGGCAGCGAGCGAGACAGAAAGCUGCGACCGGUCUCAGCAUCGCGUGCAGCCCUCCCCGUGCCUCCACCCAAACCAGGUCUCUACUCAGAAAGCCAAACCGAAGGCAGAAGGAAAAUAUCGGGACUGCUCACAUGCAUCCGCGGGGUGCCAGGUAGAAGGCUGCCCCAGAACACAGCAGGGAUGACCCCAUCUGGCCUGCAAUCGUCCCACCAAGCAAAACAGAGCAAGAGCGUUUUCCAAGCAAGGAAACCGCCAGUCCCUCUAGAUUAUUUGUUUUACCUGCCACACCACCUGCGAAUAAACCUAUCAACCCAGCAAGGCUUAGUAUCUGGUCCUUCCACAGCCUGAUCCUUAUAAUAAGCACCACCGCUCUGGAAGAUUAGACUUGACCACGAGAAAGAGUGAAGACGCUUCACACACAUCCAGUGGCCACAGGUCCCUGCAACGAGCGGGGGAAUCUGGCUGAGUACAGACAGAGCAAGGCUCUGUAGGUGGCAUAAUAAUUUACCUGCCUCCAAGGGGAUGAGAGCUUGACAGCUCAGGAGGAAUCAAACGCUACCGGCCUGCCCAAGCCUGGGAAAUGGGUCUUAAGGGGCCCCAGGUCCAGUCCCCUCAGCACUAGUGACAAGGAAGCAGCUCCCAUCUCCUCACCCAGAGUCAAACUCCAAGAAUACCUGCUCAGGCACAGGGGGCAUGCCAAAAACCACCAAAAAAUAUUCAUGCCCCAUUCCCACCUGGGAGCGGCAUAGGGAGAGAAGAGCCCAGACUAAGUCCCUAGGACCUAGAAGAAGAGGGAGUGGGGUGAAGUGCCAGCUCAGAGCCCUACAACCCACAUGUUCAGGUUGUGUUUUGCAGGCAGGAGUGCUAAACCUCAGCCCAGAAGAAACCGGUUAAGCUCUCCUCGUAGAGAGGACAACUGGCAGAUGUCUUCUUGGUAGCAAGCCCAACCGAGCCUGCAGAGACACGGGAACCAGUCUGACAAGCACUUCUUCACAGGUAUUUCUCAAAGCUCAGAAGCACCCUUCUGUGCCAGGGAGGAGGGGAGACGUGCAAUUUGGCAGCAAGCACGGGAGAGCUUCAGGCAGAAGCCACCGCGUUUGGAUGGGCAGUUGUGACAAACGACGUGUGCUCAGCAGAGGAUAGGCUGGUAAAGCAGGCAGCUGGAAGUCAGGAGACCGGAGAAAGCAGCAAGACUAGUCCAACUUUCAAAUCAAGGCUGGGAAACUGAGCAGUGCCGUGACUCGAGGCAGAAGAUGCAGGAACAGCAGAACGCUGCUCCAACCCAGAGCGGCCGUGCUUCUGCAGAAACCUCCCCGAGGCCGGUGUCCGGGAGCUGAGGGAAGCGCCGGCCUCACCUUCCCAGGCUGCGGGAGGGGAACGCAGGGCACGGGCUCCCGCGCC